This 377-nucleotide ribosomal RNA is filed under the name uncultured eukaryote. RNAcentral's name for it is "partial 18S ribosomal RNA". It matches the Rfam family "Eukaryotic small subunit ribosomal RNA", at positions 592 to 976 of the family's 1831-position model. The record is from RNAcentral.
CAAUAGCGUAUAUUAAAGUUGUUGCAGUUAAAAAGCUCGUAGUUGGAUUUCGGGGUGGCCUGCCUGGUCCACCGCAAGGUGAGUACUGGUCAGCCGCCCUUCCUCUCGAAAGCCCCGACUGCUCUUCAUUGCAGUGGUCGGGUAGUUCGGGACGUUUACUUUGAAAAAAUUAGAGUGUUCAAGGCAGGCUCUCGCCUGAAUACAUUAGCAUGGAAUAAUGGAAGAGGACCUCGGUCCUAUUUUGUUGGUUUCUAGGGCCGAAGUAAUGAUUAAGAGGGACAGUUGGGGGCAUUCGUAUUUAAUUGUCAGAGGUGAAAUUCUUGGAUUUAUGAAAGACGAACUUCUGCGAAAGCAUUUGCCAAGGAUGUUUUCAUUAA